AUUGAACGCUGGCGGAAUGCUUUACACAUGCAAGUCGAACGGCAGCACGGGAGCUUGCUCCUGGUGGCGAGUGGCGAACGGGUGAGUAAUGCGUCGGAACGUGCCGAGUAAUGGGGGAUAACGCAGCGAAAGUUGUGCUAAUACCGCAUACGCCCUGAGGGGGAAAGCGGGGGACCUUCGGGCCUCGCACUAUUGGAUGAGCCUAUGUCAGAUUAGCUUGUUGGUGGGGUAACGGCCUACCAAGGCGACGAUCUGUAGCUGGUCUGAGAGGACGAUCAGCCACACUGGGACUGAGACACGGCCCAGACUCCUACGGGAGGCAGCAGUGGGGAAUAUUGCACAAUGGGCGAAAGCCUGAUGCAGCAAUGCCGCGUGUGUGAUGAAGGCCUUCGGUUGUAAGUACACUGUUCUAGAGGGAA
RNAcentral lists this ribosomal RNA (419 nucleotides) under uncultured bacterium. Its description in RNAcentral is "bacterial SSU rRNA". It matches the Rfam family "Bacterial small subunit ribosomal RNA", at positions 30 to 447 of the family's 1533-position model. The record is from RNAcentral.